Molecule: non-coding RNA, 222 nt
Organism: Meleagris gallopavo (turkey)
Lineage: Eukaryota; Metazoa; Chordata; Aves; Galliformes; Phasianidae
Source: RefSeq, a predicted model, not a curated record
GGGCUGCCAGAGGGAGCAUCUGCGGCAGGCGCAGCAGCGGCUCCGGGAGGUGGCGUUGGAGGUUCAGGCGGCGCAGCUGAAACUGCUGCGACAAACCAGUGAGAGGGAGAAGAAGGAGCUGCAGAAGAUCCUGGAGCGGCGCCGACAUCACAGCAUCACGGAGGCGCGUGGACGGGGGGGGCGGCGGCAAACGUACGGAGACCCCCGGGACCCCCCCCAAAU